ACACACAAAAGAAAAGAGAGAGAGGGCACGAGGAAUCUUCCUCACAUUUCUAAUAUUCACCACUUACAGAAUUCCCAUCCAGAGAAGAACGGGCAAAAACACACUCAUCUUCUUCAUCCACCAUUCACGCAAAAUACACAAAAAAAUCUUUAUUUUUUCCCCAUAUUCAGAGAAUUCAUUCACACACAAAUACACAAUGCACGCAUACACAGAUUUAACGAAAAAACUACCUACAUAUACACAGACUCCAAUUCCCAUCUAAAGACUGAUAUAAACGCACAAAAUUACUAGAAAAAAAUGAGAGAGAGAGAGAGAGAGAGAACGCAGAGAUCGGGAAAGGGAGAGAUCAAGUGAGAAGAAAGAGUUUGAGGUCUAGAGAGAAAUGGAGAGAUAGUGAGAAUAGAGUGAAAAUCGAGAGUGAGAUGGGUUGCGUUGAGUUUUUCGACGAGCAAAUUCUCGUCGUAUUUCAUCAUGCAGAUCGGAAACUGACUCUACCAGUCGGAGAUAGGCAGAAAUCGAUCGAAAUCCGUUAGCAGCGAUCUCACUUCAGUUCGUUCUCCGAGCAAGUUCGACGGGAUUUGAAAAGGCAGCCUCAAAUUGAUUGAAACCAACCCAUUGUGGUCAGAUUCCAGUAAAAUUUUCCAAAAACAAGUAAAGCGGGGUCGGUUCUUACUGAAAUCGAGUUCGGACGUGGUUUUUUAUUUAGCGAUUCUGUUCUUGGAUCAAUUGGGUUUCGUUGAUUUUGCGGUUUGCUCAUUGGUUUUUAUUCAAUUUGGACUCGAUUUUAUCAUUGGUUUUUGAUACCAGGCUAGAGUCAUUCCUUUUGAGAUUCUCCAUUGGUUUUUAAAUCUGAUCGGGUUGUAUUUCUCUAUACCGAGUCGAGUUUGGUCGUGGUUGAGGUUCGGUUCGAGGUUUCCGAGUGCGGACUCUCUUUAUUCAAAUAAUAUUGUGUUCGGAAUCUUCAAAAUCCAAUUCUACUCUUUUACUCUUUUAUUUCACUAUGGAUGAUAUUCGGUGCAUCGGAUUUAAUGUUGUGUUGAUUGAUCUUGAUUGGCGAUUGAAUUGCUACUUGUUCGAUUUGUUUUUGAUUCCUUAGAUUACGAAUUGUGGAAAUUUGGUGUUAAAUGAGAAUUUGGGACGGAAUUUGAGAAAUUAAUAAAAAUGGUGAAUUUAGAUUAAUGUUGGUUUAUUGUUGUUUUGCUUAAUUUGGAAUCAAUAUUAAGUUUGUGAAUAUGAUAGUAUCAUGAUAGGUUGAUUGGAUAGGCAAAAUAUUUAGGUUCGGGUAAGCAAAAUUUAGGAGUGAUGUGUUGUUGAAUGCAUUGAAUGUUUAAAUGUGUGUAUUGAAUGUUUUCUAUUUUAUCGUAUUUAAUUCAGAUGUAUUCAUUUGGCUGGAGAAUACCCCAAGGUAUUUGUGUUUAUUUGCUGGGAAAUGCCCCGAAAUAUUUUGUACCCGAAGGACGUUCAAGACGAAGGCCCGAGACGUUGGGUGGAGCUUAUUCUAGGAUUAGUAUAGAAUAGGAUUUAUGUUUUUUUUUUGCAUUUUUCUAUUUUGGACUAUAUAAUUGGACUGAACAUUAUUAUUUUGGUUUUGGAUUGUUGUUUGAUGUGUUUGUUGCUUGUUUUAUGCGUUUGACGUGAUUUAUACAUUCUUAGUGUCAAAAUUAGACGGUACGCACUACCAAGCGACCGUGGUCGACCCAUGGGAUCGAGGGGUGCCUAACACCUUCCCCUCGGUCAACAGAAUUCCUUAGUCGGAAUCUCUGUUCGCAAACCAGUUUUAAAGAGUCAAAAACAGUUUUGAAAAAAGAUUUCCAAAGGUGUCUUGGCACACCUGAUUAUGUCAAGUGGAGACUAUGAAUAAAAAAUAUAAAUAAUCAUUUUUCGAAAUAAAUCUUUAUUUUGUCACUUUAAUAAUAAAAUACCCUUUCGAACUUAAAACUUAAUCUUUUCGAGUUAAAAAGGGGUGUGACAGCUUUGGCGAUUCUGCUGGGGACUUUUUAAAAUUUGAGCUUAUUUUUUGGAGUUGUAUCGACUUAAUCUGAUAUUAUGGCUGUAUAGACAUUAUCUGUGUUAUCGUUCGUAUUUGUUUUAUCAUUGUUGAGUGCCUACGUGCUACGUGUUUAUAGUCUUUCUUCUUAUGUGUUACCGCUUUAUAUCUGGCAUUAUGUGCAUAACCCGAGUCAUUCUUUCUGCAACAAGUCCAUAGUACACGUGUUGUACACGACCUCUAGUUGAGUCACCCUUAUUUUAGGAGGGGGAGCCGUCGAUGUUAUUGAGUGGGGGGAAAUCUCUCGCAACCACUAUCGAUCAUACGUUCCUCCGAAAAGCUUUGUUAGUGAACCCCAACGUAGGUCAGUCUUUAGGACAUGCUUAUCUGCAUCAUAUUAAGACCUAGCGUGACCCGCGUGACCCUUUGUAGGAGACUCACCUUUAAAGCAUCCUUACGUGCUAAAUAUUGUAUAACUGACGAUAAUAUGGUCAUUUGACGAACUGAUUUGGGGAAAGAAUGUGUUAGAAGUAAAGCGCGUAGGCAAGAAAAUGUUGAAAAAAAAAGGAAAAAGAAAAGUGAGUCAAAAAUUAAAAAAAAAAAAGUUUCGUAAGUUCUUAUAGAUUUUUUUAAAAAUUCAAAAAGAUUUUUUAACCUUUCGCACUCAUUUUCUCAAAAAAUAUCAAAAAUAUUUUCCUUUUAUUCCUUUACCAUGCAUUCAUAAUUCGAAAAUUUCUAAAAGAUUUUUUUUUCAAAUAGGAAUUUUUUAUAAAAGAAAAAUUCAAAAAAGAUGGUAGAAGUUUUGUAUAUUUCAUAUCGAAAAUAUCAAAAAGAUUUUUCUUUCAUAGUUGCUGGUGUCAUUUUUGUGUGAAGUGUCAAAUUAAAAACCCAAAAAGAUUUUUCUUUCACCGUCUGUCUGUAAUCGUGUCGCUCAAGUUAAAGUUUUAGUUUGUUAUCUAAUCCUUAAUUGUCCAAUCUGAACGAACUACGCACCCCUGAUUCUCCUCUCUCGAGAGUGAGAUACAUAGACAGCCUAUUAUUGGUUCGGGGAUCUUAUUUAAAAAAUUCAAAAAGAUUUUCUUUCACUCUUCAUUUAGAGUAGGUGUUUUCUAUACAUCUCCAAGAGAAAACUACAAAAGAUUUUCCUUUAAUAGGUUCAAAUUUUAUUUUCAUAUGAAAUUCAAAAUCGAAAACUCAAAAAGAUUCUUCUUUGGUAAUCAUAGGUUUCAUUUUGUAUAGGGAUGUUAAACUUGAAAAAUGCAAAAAGAUUUUCGUCAUUUUUUUUGACAAUUUGUUAUUUUCUUUUCUUCUUAAAAUUUCAAGAAAAAGAAAAAGAAAGAGAUUUUUAUUAGCCCUUUUGUGGCCAAACUUCAAGAACUACGCACACCUGAUUCUCCUCUUUCGAGAGUGAGAUACGUAGGCGCCCUUCUUGGGUUCGGUGAUCUUUCCAAAGAAAAGAAAAAACUAAAAAAAAAAGAUUUUGAGAAAGUGUUGAACUCUAACACGUUUGUUAUCUCUUGUUCAGUUAGUUUAACUUGGUUGGUUUGUGGCAUUUUGGCUGGUCCUCCACAUCACAUCACAUCAAAUCUGAAGAAGGUUUAGUUGUGCCCAAUAAGUAUAUAGAGAGUGACCUCAUGGAUCAAACAAAGAGACAAGAAAUUGAGAGUUUAAAAAAAGAGAAUUUAAGACUAAACAAAUAAUGAAAACGUAUCGAGCUUGGGCUAGUGGGGCUGCCUCCUUCUCCAUUCCCCACUAUUAACUCUGCAAAUACCUUGAGUCUUCCACUAAAAUCACAAAGUUAGUUUUCAACUGUUGUUGAUACACCACAGCAUGCUGCAGAAUCCAAUCCACAUCAAAUGCACCCUAAUACUUCCACCACUCAUUCUUUAGCUCCUCAGUAUAAGUCUACCACAUUCAUAGCACCACAUACCGUCUGUGCUUUUGUUGCUCAACCUUCUCCUGAGGCUUCCACUUUGACUAUCAAUCCAACGAUUGUGCUUCCCCAGUCCACUAGUGAAUCCGCAUUCAAUACUCUUGAUGAUCAUUGCUAUACUAUUGAGCUUACAGUUAAGUUAAGCGGACCGCCAAAAUUUCUUACCAAGAAGCCUAGCAUUCCAGAAAAGCCAGAGAAAAUGAUGGUGAAAGUGAAGAGUGUAACCAAUGAUAUGAAAAGUUCUCUGGGACUUAUGGGCUAUGAAGAUGUUUCAUAAAAAAACUGGGGCAUGUUUUCAAGUGUUAACCUUCCUUCAAGAUUUGAUACAUCAAAGUUUAGGAAACCUGGUGGACAGAAGGAUUCUGUGAAACAUUUGGGAUGACAUUGCAAUCAAUCAAGAGAAACUAAAGGAAAUGAGAAGGAAAACACACCUGUUGUCAUGCCAGGGCCAAAGCAGAAUUUGAGAGGUCCAACCCACCAAUACUGUCAGCCUCAAUCCCGAGCUUACAUAUUAGAUCCACAUAACCACUUGCAAUAAGGUUCCUUUCUCUAAAAUUCAAGAAACCCCAUUCCACUUCCUCAAUAUCCUUUGAACAAUGCACAGUCAUAUGCUUAUCCAUUUUUUUAUCCACAAUGGCGUGCCCUGGUAUAUCAACGUCAUCCUCGACCCCCACAAAUUUACCAAGGAACCUCUAAGUUCAAGUUUCAUCCGAGGCCAGAGUUUGCAAUGAGGAGAAAGGCAAAAGAUAAUUUCACACCAAUUGGGGAUUCAUAUACCAGUUUGUUCCAGAUAUUGAGACAAUGGGGCAUAAUCACUCCUGUCCCUGGGUAUACUCCCGAUCCAUAUUCAAAAAAUUUUAAUCCUAAUGUACGAUGUGCUUAUCAUUCUAAUAUGGAAGGUCACAGUACUGAAAAUUAUCGUAUUUUGAAAAGAGAAAUAGAGAAAAUAAUUCAAGAAAAAUUAAUUAUGGUGCAAAACAUUAGCACCUCAACCGUCCCACGGAGUUCUUCGCCAACACGUGAUACUACACAAUAUGUGGAAAAUAAUGAGUUAAGCAUGGGGACUCAGAACUUAUUUGUUGAAGGGAAUGUGUCUGAUCAUGGUAGAAGCUUUAUUCAUGCUGAUAUGCAAACCAGUGGGUAAGUUGUCAGACUGAGCAAUUGAGAAGUCACCCCUCUCCCAACUAGUAAGAGGUUUGAGAGUUUGUUUUGUUUUAUUUUUUGUUUUCUGAAUUAUUUCAGGAUUGUAGUUCGGGAUUGUCAUACCCUAUUUCUACCUGAGGUCAAAACGAGCACGACAUUAUGGAUUCUAAAAGAAUGAAAAUUGUAUAGAGUCGCCACCUUAUUUUAAGGGAAAUGAGAAAAAUCCUUUUUUAUUUAUUAAAAUGCAUGACUUGUGUUUUAGUCUAUGGAACCAGUUUAGAUUCUAGGUAAGGGUUCAAGUUAUUCUGAAGGGAAGGGGUUAGGCAUCCUUCAGAAUCCACAAGUGUGGUACCCGGCUAGACUAAAUUUAUCAAAGAGGGAGGAAGUAUAAAUAUUUAAAUAAUAUAAAGUUGUAUGUGUAUUAAAUAUAUAAAUAAAUUUAUUGUUAUGAAAAUAUGUACAAAAGUAUGUAUAAAAAUAUAAAGAUUUCAUGUAAUAGGAAAAAAUAUUUUUUGUAACAUAUAAAAAAAAAUAUCUUUUAUAUACUAAAAAGGAAAAGUAUUUUUAAAUCAAAAAUCACAAAGAAAAAUAUAAAUUCAUUUUUUAAAAGAGAGCUAUGUAAUAUGUGAAUAUUAAUUAGUUGAUUAACUUAAUUAUUUUAUGUAAAUAUUAACGGCAUAAGUUUUGCUGAAAAUGGAUGAAAUUAUGUAAAUAAAGAAUAUCCCCGCCCGGCACCAAAAAAGUAAAAUUUUCACUAUUUUUUUUUUGUUAUUUGUACAAGUGUGAGAAUAUAAAAUACAAUAUAAAAUUUAAGGGCCUCUUUGACUGUAACUCCCGACGAAUAUUUCAAAAUAACAUGUAUAAACACUUAAAAAAAGAAUAUUAGCAACAAAUAAAAAUAAUCAAAAUAAAUUGAACAAGUAUGUAUGAGUAUGAAUAUUUAAAAAUAUAUUUUUUGUUAAAAAGUGGGCUCAGAUAAUGUCAUGACUGCAAAAUGGUUGCUCAAUUAAUUGGCCGUCCUAAAUCGUCUUGCAACGAAGUGGUUGCUCAAUUAAUUGACCGUCCUAAAUAGUCUUGCCAAGAUAUGAAUUGUAAAAUCUUAUGUUGUUAUAAAGUUUCAUCAUCGCCUAAAAAAUAUUUAUUUAUUACGUAUGUAUACGUAAAAAGUCUGUCUUUUAUUUAUGGAGACCUCAAAAUUAAUAAUAAUUUUUUUAUUGGCCACGAUAGUAUUUGUUCGUUAUCAGUGUAUAUCCAAAAAUGAGUACAGGAAGAUAAAAUUCCAUCUAAACUAUCCGAAACGUGUCAAACACAAUAAAACAACAUCCAAAAUAAAAGUGAUCCCAAAACAAGCAAAUCAAUGGAAACAUGUAAAGAAAUGCUCAAAAGGGAGCUUGGCCAAAAAUUCAAAGCCAUAACAAGAUCGGAUACCACAAAAGCUAUUAACGGCGUUGCUUCGACGAUGUUCACCGGAGCAACGCCAAAAAAAUGUGACUACGAUCAGAUCUGGCUAGUUCUUGAUGAGCAAAAUGAAAUGGGAAGUAGAGGAGGGGGCUGCCGCGAUUUGGUGAUGACGCGGCUGGAGGUCAAAGCUCUUCAGCCAUCAACUCCAGCGAACUAGCGGCACAACAAAUGAAGAAGGAGAGGGCGACAAUGAUGGUGACUCGCCGGUCGGAGCUCGUGUCGCUUGUGGUCGGCGUUAGUUUUUUGGCGAUGUGGCUGCCGGAGAACGGAUAAACUGUUAAUGUUUUAGAUCUAUAGAGAAAGUGAAAGCUUAAAUUAAAAAAAAUUAUGUAGUAGGCAUUUGUGUAUAUAUUUUUUCAUGUGUGUUUGUCUUGGUGUUUUGUCGUGUAUGUUUAUGUGUGUUUUGUCAGAAGAAAUGGAGAUUUUUCCUGCCAGUGUCUCCGUUCAAGUCCCAUUAAUGUGGUGAUAAUAUCCCUGAUAAAUAUUAUGUGUGUUUAUCCGUUGGAGCGCAUUUUCUGUGUGUGUAAAUGUGUCCGUUUAAAAUUGAUUAUUGCAAAAGAUGAGAAAUAUCAAAAUUCAAGAUUUUCUUUUUGACUUUUCAAAGAUCAUGAUUAUUGGUUAGGUAAAAAAGAUGAAGAGAAAAAAAACGUGUGUCUUUUUUUGAUUUGUAUUUGAGAGAGAGAAAAAAUAUGUGUGGGUGUAUGAAAAUGUGUGUGUAGAGAGAAAAGAUGAAUAAAAAAUGUGUGUCCAAAAUAUGUCCUCCCACCACUUAUUUAUACAAAAAAUUGAGCACCCCUUUUAUCCAAUGGAUAAAGGGGUGUCCUCUCUUUUUAUAAUAGAAUACCCUUAGGUCCUUAAGUUAUUAGCCAACGAAUUUUCAUUUUUUUGAGCAACGGACAAAGUAAUUAUCCAAAGGGUAGUGUCAUUGAGUGGUCGUUAUCAAAUGUGACGAGACAACACUGAGUGGUCAUUGUCGGACGUGACAAGACAUUAUUGUGUAGUCGUUGUCGGAUGUGAUAAGACAUCAAAUUAUUAUACUGCACAAAAAUAAUUGAUCUGACUCAGCGUUUGCAGACUGUAAAAUAUAGAUGUUGAAUGAAAAAAUGUAAAGAAUAUUAAAAUUAUUAAAGUAUAAUUAAUUUAAAAAUACUGUAAAAAAUAUAUAUAUAAUGUCAUGUCAUGCACGUGCGCAAAUAUUUGUAAAAUAAUAAAUUGAUAAGAAUAAGAAAAAUUAUUAAUAAAUUAUAAAGAGUAAACAAUCCUAAAGUAAGGAUAAAAAUCAAUAAUUUGUUAUCAAUUGUAAAAAAUAUAUGAAAGUUGUAUUUUGUGCCCUUUAACGAUCAGGAAGCCUGAAUACGUUAUUUUUAAGCACGGAGAGCAAAAAUUGGGUGUCAACAGUUGCCCGUUUUCGUUUGAAGGCGAUGUAGAAGUCUUCAAAUGAAAAUAUUGACGUACAACCAAUUUUGCUCGAUAGAAUAAUUUGAUGAAAAUUUGACCGAACUCCGAUUUAGAGUUGCCUACAUACCUCGAGUUGUGUGAGGAUCAGGUCAGGUGUAGUUCAAAUGGGAUGAAUACGGGUGCUUGUUCUAAAAUUGACUGUUUGGGUAGCUGAAAAUAAGUAGAUGUCGGAUAGCAAUAUUUGUUGGGGACUUUGAAGGAAAAGGAGAUUGCUAAUUUUCAAAGAUUGCCCCAAUAUCGGAUUAAGACGAUAUUGAGUAAUGAUAAUAAGGAUUAUAAAAAUGAGAGUUUUGGGUCGAAUUGAGUUGAGUUUCUUCGCCGAAAUUCCUGACGUAACUAGGGAUCCCUAACAUUCCGCUAGCUUGUCCCAGUUUGCUGCUAAGAGGAUAGUUUCACGUUGUACUGCAUGUUCUAGUAUUGUCUCUAUUUUUUAAGGCAAUCUGCCUGGCUGGGUGAUAAAUGAAAUGUAAAUAGCCUCCGUCGGCUGAGAAGUUGCUUGAAUGUAAAAGCCUCCGUCGGCUGAGCAGUAACUGAGAUGUAAACAACCUCCGUCGGCUGAGCAGUUGCAUGAAAUGUAAAUAGCCUCCGUCGGCUGAAAUGUAAAUAGCCUCCGUCGGAUGAAAUGUAAAUAGCCUCCGUCAGCUGAAAUGCUUGUUGAGGAAGUGAAAGUUUCAUUAUAUGCCAUAUUGUUUGGGGAGGACUUGCCAUGUCCUAUUGUUCGGGGCUGACCACCCUGUCCUAUUGUUCGGGACGGACUGCCCUGUCCUGUUGUUUGGGGCGGGCUACCCUAUUUUAUUUUAGAGUUUUGUGACCAUCUGUUAGUACUUGAUGACCGAGUCUUAAUGGGGAUAUCCCUUUAAUGCGACUUGUGAUAGAGAUAUGAUGUUGAUUUUCUGAUGGAAUGUUGUAAGAUACUUGACACGUGCCUUCUUGAGCAUUAUUACUGUAAGAUUCGAGAAGAUUCUUUAGUUUCUUGGAAUAAUUAUAGAUAAAUUGACGAUACCUGAAUUCUCAACUUGUGAUAGUGAGGCAGUAUUUAGGCUUCUAAGAUGUGUGAACCUUUGUUGUAGCGAUGUCGUACCUGCACUGAAAGAAAGUUUCUUAGUUUGGGGAGGGCAUGUUGAUUUUGUGUUGAUCGAGAACUCGGCCUAGCAGCUAUCUCGUACUUCAAUAUUUCGACAAUCGAUAAUCUAUUCAGGAUUUGGAGUAGUGACACUUCCUAACUCCACAUAAUGUGCUUAUACUGGUAUGUCUUCUGGUGGAAACUUUCUUCAUCUUGAUCUUCGCUUUCAGACUUAUAUCAAAGUGACGUGGUUGUUGUGGCUUGAGAUGAUAAAUGAAAUUUGAAAAGAUGUAAAAGAUUAUAUUGUUGAUAUGACCGAGCCUGACUUAAGCUGCCUACAUAUCCUAGAAUAGGAAUCAAGUCAAAACGUAGUUUCGUGUGAGGGGAAUCAAGAAAAAUUUGGCCACAAGGGUGGGUAUGUGGAGAAUGGUAAGGUUGGUAAUCAUGAGCUUGCUUUGGAAAGCUCAUUUGGUCAUUUGCCGGAGCGGUGCCUCUUAUGUAUGAGUCUUCAACAUCUUAUGGCUUUUUCUUGUGCUAACGAUUAACAUCAAAGAAUUUCUUAAUUUGAGCAAUGCUUUUGUAAGUUGUUGGAGUCGAUUAAGCGUUGAACUUUGCAUCUCAAUGUUUUUCAUGUCAAGGUUUUGAGCGGAAGAGUAGUAAAUGCAUUGUAUAAGCUAUCUUUAUAUAUAGUCUCGCUGACUUGCGUUUUGAUGAAGGUAAGAGGCUUGGGUACAUGCGCGAGUCUUCUCUUCGUAUACUCUGAAUAUUUCUUGGGCGCCUCAUUGAUAGUCUCCUUAUCUUGUGGGCGUCUUCGUAUAUGAACUCUUUUUGGGUCCACUAUAGUCGUCCUUUCGUGUACCUAUUUCAAAAGAAAUAACUUGCAACAACAGACAUAACAACCCUUUUGGUUGUUGCAUAAUUAUUUGUCAGUUGAAUAUGUCUUUAAAGUGGGGUGCUCAUUUUGGACACCGCUGACACUUUAUGCAAAAGGGUCCCCGCGACCGAGUAAUCUUGUGUUGAUGCGGUAACCCUUUUGAGUCACCCAUAAUGCUUAUGGAAUGAUGACCUCUCUGGUUAUUGCUAAUAAUUCUUCGCAUAUGAUCUCGGAUAAGUGUUGCACAUCUUUUGUAUCAAUACGACUUAUAAAUUCCUCUUGAAUCGUGAAUCUUUGGAUUAUCUUGCGCAUUGGAUUAUCAUGCGCAUUAUUUAAUGUUAGAUACGAGGCGACUUAUAGAUAUCCUUUGAAUUGCUAUCCUUUAGGUAAUCCUGCACAUUAUCCGACUUUAGAUAAGAGAUGACUUAUAGAUAUCCCUCCAAUUUCUAGCUUUCAGGUGUUUCUGCACAUCAUCCAACCUUGGACACAAUAUGAAUUAUAGACAUCUCUCAAAUUGUUAGUCCUUGGGUAAUCCUGCACAUAAUCGAUCUUGGAUAUGACGCGGCUUAUAGAGAACCCUUGGACAUACCAAUUUGAUGAUCUCGUAUAUUCUCCGAUAAGGAUUUAGUUGUGACUUAUGGAUAACCUUCGGACUAUCAAUUUUUGGGUAACCUUGCAUACUAUCUGAUUGGGAUGUUAUUGCGGCUUACGAAUGACCUAUGGACUAUCAACUUAGAGAUAAUCUUGCACACUAUCUUAUUUCAAAUAAUAUGACUUAUAGAUGAUCCUCAAAUUAUUAAUUUCAAGGAAAUCUCAUAUGGCAUUCGCUUUCAGAUAGAGACUUAAAGACGAAUCAUGUGCUUUUGAUGAAUUCAGAUGCUGAUUCAUAGGAUGAUGAGAUAUCCUCGACGCCACCAUAUGCUAUCUCACGUGUCAACAGAUAUUGAAUGUUGAUAUCCUCGAUUGAUGUAUUAGUCAUAAUCCAAGCUUGAAAGCUUUUAAGCAUAUUUUGGAAAUCCUUCUGAUUGGUUGACCUCUUUAUGACUGAAGUAACGAGUGUUUGAUCCUGCGCUGAUCGUCGAUAUGAUUUUGGAACAUUUGUAUUGAUAGUAUCUUUUAACAAUAUUUGUAGAGAAGAUCCUUGGUUAAGUGGUGGAAGUGUCUUCUAUAUAGACCCUUGGUGUAUUUCUCUCGAUAUUGUAGUCAAUUCAUCCCCCAUUGAUGUCUUGUAGCUUUAAUGAUGUCUUACAUUAUCUGGUACAAAUCAACCUUGAUUGUAACAUUUCCAAGUUGAACGUCCUAGCCUUCGUUGAUUUUUGAAACGUUCUUCAAAAUUUUUCCCCAGUCUCUUGGAGUGACUUUCUCGAUGAUUCUUUGCUACGUAUCUUGGGAUAGUCUUGAUGGAUCGUGUCGGUUUUUCUGGAUACCGUCGCGUUCAAGUUUCGCUCGUCAUUAGGGAAAAUGGAAUUUUGUAUUAUAAAGGGAUUGAACCUUAUAUAGGCUGUCUACGUGUCCCGCCAGGGAAAUCAGGUCACAUGUAGUUUCAACUACAAAAGGAGAAAUGAUUCUCCUUAAGUACGACCGAACCCGAUGAGGGUUGCCUACGUAUCUGACCAUGAGAAAUCAGGUCAGAACGUAGUUCUGAUACAUGAUAGUUAGAGGAGAUCCUAUGCCUUCAAAUAUAGGACUCUAUUUAUUGUCUCUGAGUCGAUUAACUUGGAUUCGUCUAUAUUGUAUUCCCAUUAAAGUUAGCGCUUCUCUGUAGAGUGGCUUAUAUGAAGGCCCUGCUGGACGUGGAGGAUGGUGUCUCUCACGUCAUAUACACUCCUCUAUUUUCAUGAUUGGGCACCGAAUCAUUAUUUGCAUUUGGUUGCUCUUUGACACAUUGGAUUGCCCUAGCCUUGAUCAAGCACUCAAUUCUAUGCCUUAACCUAUUACAAUCUCCAGUAUCGUGCCCUAAAACUCCAGAAUGGAAAGCACAUCACUUUGUUUCAUCGAACCAUUUAGGUAAUGGAUUAGGAAUCUUUUCCAACUCCAAUCACAAUAAAUUUACAGCUCUUAGUCUCUCAAAAAGUGUCAAUGGUUCAAUAAAUUGAGUGCAACUUUGAUUGCGCUUACCCUUCGAAUUUUGUCUUAGCGCAAAAGGUGUCGAAUUUUGACAAACUAACAUUGGAUUGGUACGCAUGGUUGUGGUGGAUUUUGGUAUGUGAGAGCUUGGGGUUGAAGGUAAUUUUGUAGGAUAUUAUAGGCAUGAUGAAAUGUAUGAUUUGAUAUUUGCAUCAGUUCAUUAUCAGGACUUUGAAGUGAUUGGGAUGAUUCAGGUAUUGAAUGGUGUGGUAUCAUAACAAAUAUUUCUUCUUCAUUCUCCUCCUUGCCUCCUUCGAUGGACUCUAACUGGGUAGCCUUGCUCGAGUUAUUUGCUGACUUAAUCUUUCCAGAGUUAAUCGCCUCUUCUAUAAAAUUCCCCAUUUUGACACAAUCAGCAAACUUCUGCCCCAAUGUGGACAUUACCCUUUCAAAAUAGACACCCUUUUGACUGCAGAUAAAAUACUUCAUUAAUUCACUUUCGUCCAGUGGUGAUUGAACCUUUUCUGCCUUAGACCUCCAUCGCCGAGCAUAUUCGUAGAAGGAUUCAGAGGACUUCUUUUGUAUAUUGAUGAGAGAAAGUCGAUCAGGUACAAUUUUUGUAUUAAACUUGAAACGAUUCAUAAAGUCUUCAGCCAUGUCGCUCCACUUACGCCAAUGACGAGGGUCUUGGUUGGUGUACCAAGUGAGAGCCUCACCAGACAAACUUCUAAUGAACUUCAUUAUGAGUUUCUCAUUUUUUCCAAUUCUUAUCAAUUUAUCACAACGCUCUUAAAUGAGUAUGAGGAUCCCCGGUUCCAUCAAACAAGUCAAACUUAGGUGGCUUGAACCCGAUUGGCAAAUCAACAUCUGGAUAGAUAUAUAAAUCUUCAUAGUCCAAAUGAUUACUGACUUAAGUUUCUUGGAGGUGUUUCAUCUCUCGCUAUAGAUUACGAAGCUCAUUUAUAAUUUUGUCAUUCCCCUCUUUUUGUCCUUGUACUUAUCGGAAGCCUACCUUUAGCUGGCACGGUGAAAAUGGGUGUCUUAGUCACGCACAUUGGAGAAAUAUAUUGUUCUUUAAAGGUAGCCUGAUUUGUUCGUUGAAUAUCACAAGCAGAUGUGACAAUAUUUGGAUGUAGGGUGCAAUGAGGAAAUUUAUGGGAGGUGAUAAGUGUGAACGGGGAUGAGGGAUUUGUUAAACCAACAGUCGUUGUGGGAGGUUGUACUGACUGAUAGCGUUUAGGUAUUGGAGUUUUUAGCGAUAAAAAUUAGGAGGGCGUGGUAGAGUAGCCGUGGAUGGAUGUGUGGGAUCCUUUCCUUGGUGUAGUUCUCCUCUUAACGUCUCGAGUUAUUGAUCCAAAAGAAGCAUACGUUCAUUAUCUUGUCUUUUGAAAAUUCCUGAUAUGCUUGCCAGUGUUGGAACACUUCUGGUCAGGUCGACAGUAUUGGUAUUCAUUAUAUAGCUUAAGUCGGCUAGUUCUAUCGAUCAACACAAUCAACCUCUAUCAGGGAAUAAUGCAAGCACAAAUAAAAGUUCAAGAGUUAGUUUAUGUCGAUGGACAAGCACAUUCAGACAAUAUCGAGUAAGCGUAUCUUAUAUUGUGGAGCCUCAUUUUGCCAGAGGUAGGCCUUCGUCCAAGCAAACUGAUAUAGAUGAAUUUAGAUUUUGAUACAUUUUGGAUUCAGAACAAUUUUAGGUUUUCUUGAAGAGGGAAUGUAUCCAACAAGGGCGGAUAAAAGAGGCUUAUAUAGUCGAUAAGAAUUGAUAGAAGCGGGCUAAAAUAAUACCUUUAAAAGAGUGAGUAUCUCAAGUCUCGUUAUUGAUGAAUGAGGAUCUUGUGGUAGAGAUAUCGAACGGAGGAGAAGUAUCGACAAUGCCUCACGCUCAUUGGCUGGAAAGAGUUAGAAGUGGGUGAAGAUGAAUAAUAUUCCACAUUCAUUGUUUUGAAGAAGGGCGUCAAAUAAUUGUAGAGUUUUAAAUAAUAUUCUACGUCCGUUGACUAGAAAAAAGAAUCAAACAUUGGAAGAAUUCUUGACGACAUUCCACUCUAGCUUGGAUCAAAAAAGAAAAAGUUAGACGUAGGUGGAGUUGUUAGUAACAUUUCUAUCUGCGGACUUGAAGAGAAAGUUGAAUGAAAGCAAAGCAUUUUUAGAACACUCGGCUUUCAUGGACUCUGAGAAAGAUAUUUGUGAAGCGAAAUUUUAACAACACUCUGUAUUCGUGAAAAUGGUGUCAAAAAUUGGCAAGUUUAGGUAAUACUUUAUGUCUAUUGAUGUGAAAAUGAUUUCGAAUGAAGAAAGAGUAAAAGAAGGCGAAUUUGAUUGUUCUGAAUCCAUUAAUGUUUGAUUUCUAGAUUAUCUGAAUCAGUUCUAACACAAAAUAUGUCAUAAAGGUUCCAUAACCUUCUGACGAAAGGGUGGCUUCGUAGUUACGAAGACGAUACCUUGGACCAUUCCGCCUAAGGUAUAUGCAAUAUGGCCUAUUACUAGAGUAGGAUUUUUCCCUAAAUGUUCAAGAGUGGGACUGGACAUUUGCUAGAAGAUGCACUAACCUAACUGCACCGACUCUGAAACUAAGGAAUCCAAAGAAGGUUCGGAGGAGUGCAGUACACCCCUCGCGUAUACCACAGUGUCUGAAAUGUGUACAGACAAAGACUCGAUAGAAAAAUGCGAGUGAUAAAGCAGUAACAAGUAGUGUUAUUCAAACAAAUAAGGAACGCAAGUUUGGAUUUGGCUUGCGUGCUUUCACACAUAGCAUGAUAUAAAAAUAUGUAAAACAAAUAACAUAAUAAAGCAUAAAAAUCCUAAACUAAGCAUGAUGAAAAAAUGUAAAGAAUUUAUGAGCAAAUUCACAUAAUUUGCAUUGUAAUAAUAGGUAAAGAAUUUAAUCAUAUACAAAAAAUAUAAAAAUACCUCCCUCAAUUGAAAAUCGAGUCGAUCAUGGUUAGAACGUCUCCUCCUUCCCAGCAGAGUCUUCAUUCUGUCAUACCCUAUUUUUACCUGAGGUCAAAACGAGCACGGCGUUAUGGAUUCUAAAAGAAUGAAAAUUGUACAGAGUCGCCACCUUAUUUUAAGGGAAAUGAGGAAAACCCUUUUUUAUUUAUUAAAAUGCAUGACUUGUGUUUUAGUCUAUGGAACCAGUUUAGAUUCUAGGUAAGGGUUCAAGUUAUUCCGAAGGGAAGGGGUUAGGCAUCCUUCAGAAUCCACAAGUGUGGUACCCUGCUAGACUAAAUUUAUCAAAGAGGGAUGAGGUAUAAAUAUUUAAAUAAUAUAAAAUUGUAUGUGUAUUAAAUAUAUAAAUAAAUUUAUUGUUAUGAAAAUAUGUACAAAAGUAUGUAUAAAAAUAUAAAGAUUUCAUGUAAAAGGAAAAAACAUCUUUUGUAACGUAUAAAAAAAAAGAAAAGUAUCUUUUAUAUACUAAAAAGGAAAAGUAUUUUUAAAUCAAAAAUCACAAAGGAAAAUAUAAAUUCAUUUUUUAUAAGAGAGCUAUGUAAUAUGUGAAUAUUAAUUAGUUGAUUAACUUAAUUAUUUUAUGUAAAUAUUAACGGCCUAAGUUUUGCCUAAAAUUGAUGAAAUUAUAUAAAUAAAGAACAUCCCCGUCCGGCACCAAAAAAGUAAAAUUUUCACUAUUUUUUUUGUUAUUUGUACAAGUGUGAGAAUAUAAAAUACAAUAUAAAAUUUAAGGGCCCCUUUGACUGCAACUCCCGACGAAUAUUUCAAAAUAACCUGUAUAAACACUUAAAAAAAGAAUAUUAGCAACAAAUAAAAAUAAUCAAAAUAAAUUGAACAAGUAUGUAUGCAUAUGAAUAUUUAAAAAUAUAUUUUUUGUUAAAAAGUGCGCUCAGAUAAUGUCAUGACUGCGAAAUGGUUGCUCAAUUAAUUGGCCGUCCUAAAUCGUCUUGCAACGAAGUGGUUGCUCAAUUAAUUGGUCGUCCUAAAUAGUCUUGACAAGAUAUGAAUUGUAAAAUCUUAUGUUGUUAUAAAGUUUCAUCAUCGCCUAAAAAAUAUUUAUUUAUUACGUAUGUAUACGUAAAAAGUCCGUCUUUUAUUUAAAAAGGCCUCAAAAUUAAUAAUAUAUUUUUAAUUGGCCACGAUAGUAUUUGUUCUUUAUCAGUGUAUAUCCAAAAAUGAGUACAGGAAGAUAAAAUUGCAUCUAAACCAUCCGAAACGUGUCAAACACAAUAAAACAACAUCCAAAACAAAAGUGAUCCCAAAACAAGCAAAUCAAUGGAAACAUGUAAAGAAAUGCUCAAAAGGGAGCUUGGCCGAAAAUUCAAAGCCACAACAAGAUCGGAGACCACAAAAGCUAUUAACGGCGUUGCUUCGACGUUGUUCACCGGAGCAAUGUUGAAAAACGUGAUUACGACCAGAUCUGGCUAGUUCUUGAUGAGCAAAAUGAAAUGGAAAGUAAAGGAGGGGGCUUCCGCGAUGUGGUGGUGAUGCGGCUGGAGCUCAAAGCUCACCGACCAUCAACUCCAGCGAACUAGCAGCACAACAAAUGAAGAAGGAGAGGGCGGCAGUGAUGCUGACUCGCUGGUCGGAGCUCGUGUGGCUUGUGGUCAGCCUUAGUUUUUCGGCGAUGUGGCUGACGGAGAACGGAUAAACUGUUAAUGUUUUAGAUCUAUAGAGAAAGUGAAAGCUUAAAUUAAAAAAAAUUAUAUAGUAGGAAUCUGUGUAUAUAUUUUUUCAUGUGUGUUUGUCUUGGUGUUUUGUCGUGUACGUUUGUGUGUUUUGUCAGAAGAAAUGGAGAUUUUUCCUGCCAGUGUCUCCGUUCAAGUCCCUUUACUGUGAUAAUAAUAUCCCUGAUAUAUAGUACGUGUGUUUAUCCGUUGGAGCGCUUUUUCUGUGUGUGUAAAUGUGUCCGUUUAAAAUUGAUUGUUGCAAAAGAUGAGAAAUAUGAAAAUUCAAGAUUUUCUUUUUGACUUUUCAAAGAUCAUGAUUAUUGGUUAGGUAAAAAAGAUGAAGAGAAAGAAAACGUGUCUUUUUUUGGUUUGUAUUUGAGAGAGAGAGAGAAAAUUUGUGUGGGUGUAUGAAAAUGUGUGUGUAGAGAGAAAAGAUGAAUAAAAUUUGUGUGUCCAAAAUAUGUCCUCCCACCACCUAUUUAUACAAAAAAUUGAGCACCCCUUUUAUCCAAUGGAUAAAGGGGUGUCCUCUCUUUUUAUAAUAAAACACUCUUAGGUCCUUAAGUUAUUAGCCAAAGAAUUUUCAUCCUUUUGAGCAACGGACAAAGUAAUUAUCCAAAGGGUAGUGUCAUUGAGUGGUCGUUAUCAGAUGUGAUGAGACAACACUGAGUGGUCAUUGUCGGACGUGACAAGACAUUCUUUUGUAGUCGUUGUCGGAUGUGAUAAGACAUCAAAUUAUUAUACUGCACAAAAAUAAUUGAUCCGACUCAGCGUUUGCAGACUGUAAAAUAUAGAUGUUGAAUGAAAAAAUGUAAAGAAUAUUAAAAUUAUUAAAGUAUAAUUAAUUUAAAAAUACUGUAAAAAAUAUAUAUAUAACGUCAUGUCAUGCACGUGCGCAAAUAUUUGCAAAAUAAUAAAUUGAUAAAAAUAGGAAAAAUUAUUAAUAAAUUAUAAAGAGUAAAAAAUCCUAAAGUAAGGAUGAAAAUCAAUAAUUUGUUAUCAAUCGUAAAAAAUAUGUGAAAGUUGUAUUUUGUUCCCUUUAACGGCUAGGAAGCCUGAAUACAUUAUUUUUAAGCACGGAGAGCAAAAAUUGGGUGUCAACAGGGAUCUAUCUUGUUUUGUCCCUCUGUCGUUUAUGCUCAAACCCUGCUAUCUUUUAUUUCAACUAAAUGAAGUGUCCCUUUUCGUUUGUGUUUUAAAUAUGUGUUGUUUGUUUUCUUAACGCAGUACAUUUUAUGUCGAUUCUAGUGAUAUGACAUGCUAGCGAAAUUUUCAGUCAGAUCUUAAAAUUCAGUUGAAGCAUGAACUUUGAAUCACAGGGGUAAAGUUAGAAAACACACCUGAGAAAAUAGGUAGAGUGCUGAGACAUUUGGUGACAAUUUGAAACCUUCUUAGAAAAUUAAGGCAAUUAUUUUUAGAAUCAUAAAAAUAACUUGGUCAUCAAUUGAAAAACAUAGCUCAGUUACGUCAAAUAGUGGAUGUGUGAUAUCUAUAUCUAGAGGAACAUAACAAAAAUCAACUUCACGAAAGCAUGAACCAUUCAAUGUGAGGGAUGAACGACAAAUAUGGAGUUGUAUAUUUGACAAGUGUAGAAGAAGAGUUGGCACACAUGCUCAGGGCAAGUUAGUGCUAUAAAAUAUGUCAUAAGUGAUAUUGAUCGUGUACUUUCACAUUGCAUUCUAUGUACUAGCAUUUUCAAGGAUUGAUAUGACGAAACAUUUCAUUCUGCUAUCCAAACAUUGUGUCAUCCUUUGUUUACUCCAUUUAAGCUUUAGUGUUAUUUUCUUUCAUACCCCUCUUUUGGAAUCAAGAUAGAGUCAGCAAAGCUUAAAAGAAAAGUGUCGAGCAAAAGAAUAGAGUCAGAAAAUUUUUAAAAAAUGUCCAAAAAGAAAGAAAAAAGAAGAAUGUCAAAAAAUAGAAUAAAAAUCCCCUAGAUAAAAAAGGUCAAUGAAACAAAAAAAAAGUCAGAAUCAAGCAAAAUAAAUUAUCGAAACUACGCGUGACCUGAGUUUUCUCUCUCGAGAGUGAGAUACACAGGCUGCCUUACUUUGGGCUCGGUCCAAUCAAAUGAACAAUUUAGAAUUGUUCGGUCAAAAGAAACUGGGCAUGAGUUAUCCUCAUUGUUUGAUUCGAUUCCAAAAUUUGUAAGUCCUACCCCACUUCAAGUAUCGUUUGAGCCUCAUGUCAUCCUUUCUUUCUAACUUUGUCCAAAAUUUAAGUUACAACCAAAGAAAGACCUUCAGAUCAAUCUUUGAGAAUGUUAGGGCUAAGUAUGCAAUGGAUAUGAUGACGUAUUUUGGGAACUACUUGUCUUCCUCGGCAUAAAGAAUUAAGAGAGAAAUAAAAAUGAGAGAGUCUUAAUGGUGGAAACCCUUACGGACAACAUAAGAUGAUGGUAAGUUGAGAGACAAAAACAAGAGAGUCUUAUUGGUGAAAAUACUCACAGGCACUGUAAGAUGAGGGUAAGUUGAGAGAAAUAAAAAUAAGAAAGUCUCAUUAGUGAAAACCCUCACGGACACCAUAAGAUAAUGGUGAGAUGAGAAAAAGAAAAUGAGAGAGGCUUAUUAGCGAAAACUCUUCAAGGCACCACUAGCUGAAUGAGAUCUUAAAUGCAAUUGACCUAAGGAAACAACUCAGUUUCAAGGCCAUUAACUCAACAACAAUUGGUAGAAAGUUUGGAUGCAAAGAUCAGGCAGCUUAAUCCAAAAUGCAUGGCAUAAUCAUUAGAGUUGACUGUCAUUUUUAGAUAAUUUUUUUGUUCUUUGUUUCAAAUAAGGACAUUCAUUGUCUUUUUUUUUUAUUUUUUUUAUUUUCUUGAGCCAAUUAUCCAAAUAAAAAAAUCAUUGUCAUUUUUUUUCUUGUCUUUAAGUCAAGUCCAUGUCAAAACAAGUGAGAAAAGAUUUCAAAACUGGCUACCAGCUUCUUCAAUUGCACAGAGCAAGACAAAAGGCCAAUACAUGAAAGAGACAUGAUUGUGAGCCGAAAUAAGGCAUGCAGAAAGUUUUGUCAACAAGACAAGUCUGAGAACUCAUGUAAAUACCAAGGUUCAAAGAGUUUAUCUGAGAAGCAUGGCAAAGCAGAGAUACUGUGUUUGUUUCAGAGUUACUCUUAAUAAUCUGAGUUCAGGUCAAUGAUGCAGCAAGUCAAUGACAUAUGCUAAUGGUUGAAAGCAGGAUUUAAUAUGAAAGGGGCAAGAGCGAUUGUCGGAAAAGCUAAAACCGCAAAUAAGCCACCAUGUUUUUAAACUCGCAAGUUUUCUUUGUAUGAAACAGGAACACAUGUUACCUUCAAAUCAAGGACUUCAAAGACUAAACAUCAAAGGCCGUAUUUUCUCACUUCUACAACUGCAAGAGGCAAUGUUGUUGCACAGGUCUGGUGAUCAAAACCACGGUAAAACUCAUAAUCCAAUAUCUCUAGGAGACACACUUCCUUGUCAGGGUAAUUCAAAUUUAUUUAUUAGGUGAUGCACUUCCUAAAUUGAACUUUCACUCCUAGAAGUCGCACUUUCUAGUUGAGUCCUUCCACUUAAUCCUUAGAAGGAACACUUCCUUGUUAGGAUAGUUCAAGUUUUAGCUUGCUAGGUGACAUACUUUCUAACUUAACCCUUUACUCCUAUAAGAUGCACUUUCUGGUUGAGUCCUUCCAUACAACCCCUAGGAGAUGCACCUCCUUAUCUGAGUAAUUCAGGUUUCAUUUAUUAGGUGAUGCACUUUCUAAAUUAAAACUUCACUCGUAAAAGUCGCACUUUCUAGUUGAUUCCUUCCCCUUAACCCUUAGGAGACACAUUUUCCUUGGUUGGGUAAUUCAAGAGAUAUUUGUAAGGAGACACAUUUCUUUGUCUGUGUAAUUCAAGAGACAUUGGUAAGGAGACUCACUUCCUCGUUUGGGUAAUUCAAGCAUUAUUUGUAAGGAGACGCACUUUCUUGUUUGGGUAAUUCAAGCGAUAUUUAUAAGGGGGUGCACUUCCUUGUUCGGGUAAUUCAAAUGGCAUUUGUAAGGAGACUCAUUUCCUUGGGUAAUUCAAGUGGCAUUUUUAAGAAGAUGCACUUCUUUGUUUGGGUAAUUCAAGCGGCAUUGGUAAGGCGAUAUACUUCCUUGUUUUGGUAAUUCAAAAGGCAUUGGUAAGGAGACACACUUCCUUGAUUGGGUAAUUCAAAUGUUACUUGUUAGGUGAUGCACUUCCUAACUUAAAGUCUUGACUCCUAGAAGAUGUACUUCCUAGUUGAGUCAGUCCCCUUGAUUCCUAGAAGAUGUACUCCUGGUCGAGUCAUCCCUCUUGAAUUGUAGAAGAUAUACUUCCUGGUCGAGUCAUUCCCCUUGAUUCCUAGAAGAUGUACUUCCUAGUCGAGUCAGUCCCCUUGAUUUUUAGAAAAUGCACUUUUUAGUCGAGUUAUUACACUUAAAUCUUAGGAGACGCACUCCAUUGUUAGUUUUCAUUUGUCAAGUGGCACACUUUUUAACUUAAACUUUUAUCUCUAGAAGAUGCACUUUCUAGUCAGAAUUCAUCACUUUAAUUCUUAGGAGAUGCAUUUCCUAGUCUUGGUCAUUUAAUUUUACUCUCAAUAGACGCAUUUAUUGGUUAUAGUCUUGGUUCAUCAUUGCAACAUGCAAGUAGUUAUGAUUAGAUUUGAUAUUCGCAAAAGUUUUUUGAUGAUAAAUUGGGGCAAAAUUGAAUUCUUGUUGUUUGAAACUUUACAUUUCUGGCAAAUGGAAUCUCUUUAUAAUAAUCUUUGUUUGGGAUAAUUUUUUUUUAGUUUUGAUGUGAUUUCAGGAGCCCGCCUGAAGAAUAGGGUGAUAAAAUUGAAAGACGGGAACUUACCCGAAGAACAAAGUGGUAAAAUUGCAAGACAGGAGCCCGCCUGAAGAACACGGUAAAGAAGUUGAAAGUCAAGCAACAAGGUGAAGAAGUUGAAAGUCAAACAACAAGGUGAAGAAAUUGAAAGUCAAGUAACAAGGUGAAGAAAUUGAAGGUCAGCAUAUUGAAAAAUAGCAAGUCAGGAGCCCGCCUGGAGAAUAGGAUGAAGAAAUUAAAAGUCAAGCAACAAGUUGAAGAAAUUGUAAGUCAGGAGCCUGCCUGAAGAAUAGAGUGAUGAAACUCAAGUCAAAAGUCCAGAGAAACUACAUAGAUAGGAUUUUGUAAUUUCAUUAUCUUUUUAACUUGUAAUUUUUAUUUUUGAUGUAAUGACAGAGCCGCGGACCAGAACCUCAAAGGGACCUCACUCGACUCUCUAACUCGGUUGUCCUUCUUCCCUCUAUGUCUUUCUUGGAAUAAUGGUCGGGUCAAAAUUUAGUCUCAUUGUCUACUUUUUUGUAUGAAAACACUUUGUGUUUACACCCAAAAAAAAGCAUGAUGUAGAACCUAAUUUUGUCCCUCCCAAAAAUCUAAUUUAUCCAUUUUUACCUUCGUCUUACCAUGUAUCCUACCUCGUGUGAUAAUCUCUUCACAAAAGAACAAAAAUAACAAAAUCACAACAAAAAAUAACAAUCCCUAUAACUAAUUUUAUCUCAUCAUAACCACUACCCUACCCCUUACCCCACCUCACCCCUAGGCAGUCUCCCCCUCAUAUUUUUUAUUCUUUUUAACCAGCAAAAAGAAGAAAGGGAGGCCCACGGGACUCCACUCACACAGCAAGGGGGCUCAAUUUCCAUUUAUAUAUAAUCACAAUAUAGAGGGGCCCACACAUAAUUCCACGAGCACUUCACCAAAACACACAGAGAUCAUCCCCCAUUUUGAUAUUAAGCAUUAGGGGUGUACAGACUAAACCAUCAAGUCAAACCAAACUGAGAAAAAAAUGACUUAUGAUUUGGUUUGAUUGAUUUGGCGUUAGAAAAAAAAACUGACCAUUCUUGAUUUGGUUUAGUGUUGACAAAAAAAAGUCAAAUUGAACCUGAAUCAAACCGACAUAAUAAUUAAAAAGUAGAUUAUAAUUAAUAUUUUAAAUAUAAAAAGUUUGAAUAUUAUAUAUAUUUUUCAACUAGUUUUAGUAAUUCAAUAAUUUGAAAGUAGAUGUAGAUAUAUAUUUAGAUUUGGGCCUUUAAGUUGUAAUAUUUGUCCAUUAAUUGCUAAUUAAAUGAUCCAAAACCCCAUAUAAACUUAAAACCUAAACUUUUCACUCUUCAUCUCACUUUUAGUUUCAAGAGAGUUUUCCGCUGCUCAUUUUUUCAUAAUUAUGAUUUUUCAUUAGCACAUGAGUGAAAACAUAUUUGUUCUAAUCUUCUAUCACAAUAUAUUUGUAAAAACUAAAGAUUAUAAAAAAAUUGAAAAAAAAUAAAAAUAAUUGAAAAACUCAAAAAAACCAACUAAAAUCUAAACCGAAAAAAUUAAUUUUAUGUUGGUUUGAUUUGAUUUAUAGUUUUAAUAAACUGACAUGAUUAUUUUAAUUAUUUUUUUAAUAAAAACCGAACCAACCCGACCUAUGUACACCCCUAUUCAGCAUAUACACACAAAAGGAAAGGGGGGCGGCCACUAGGAAUCUUCCUCACAUUUCUAACACUCACCACUUAUAGAAUUCCCAUCCAGAGAAGAACAGGCAAAAACACACUCAUCUUCUUCAUCCACCAUUCGCGCAAAAUACACAGAAAAAUCUCUAUUUUUUCCUCAUAUUCUGAGAAUUCAUUCACAUACUAAUACACAACGCACGCACACUCAGAUUUCACGAAAACACUGCCUACUUAUACACAGACUCCAAUUCCCAUAUAGAGACUGAUAUAAACAUAAUCAGUAGAAAAAUAUAAGAGAGAGAGAAAGCAGAGAUCGGGAAAGGGAGAGAUCAAGUGAGAAGAAAGAGAUCGAGGUCUAGAGAGAAAUAGAGAGAUGGUGAGAAUAGAGUGAAAAAUCGAGAGUGAUACGAGUUGAGUUGAGUUUUUCGAUGAGCAAAUCCUUGCCGUAUUUCAUCAUACAAAUCAAAAACUGACUCCACUAGUUGAAGAUAGGCAGAAAUCAAUCAAAAUUCAUUAGCAGCGACCUUACUUUGAUUCUUCGUCUGGCUAAGUUUGACGGGAUUUGCAAAAGAAGCCUUAAAUUGAUUGAAACCGACCCAUUAUGGUCGGAUUCCAAUGAAAUCUGCUGGAAACAAGCAAAGCAGGGUUGGUUCUGCUUGAAAUCAAGAUCGGGCGUGGGUUUUUUUAGCGAUUCUGUUCUUGGAUCAAUUGGGUUUCUUUGAUUUUGAGGUUCGUUCAUUGGUUUUUAUUCAAUUUGGACUCAAUUUUGUCAUUGGUUUUUGAUACCAAGCUUGAGUCGUUCCUUUUGAUAUUCUCCGUUGGUUUUUAAAUCUGAUCGGGUUGUAUUUCUCUAUACCGAGUUGAGUUUGGUAGUGGUUGAGGUUCGGUUUGAGGUUUCUGGGUACGUAC
RNAcentral lists this long non-coding RNA (23955 nucleotides) under Capsicum annuum. RNAcentral's name for it is "long non-coding RNA (CANN_LNC013634)". The record is from RNAcentral. Lineage: Eukaryota; Viridiplantae; Streptophyta; Magnoliopsida; Solanales; Solanaceae.